AUGUUGCAGACCUUUUCUGGUUACAUGGCACAGAAGCAUCCGAUAUCUGUGAUCACAGAUGGGGACCUUGCAAUGCAGAGAGCAAUCAGGGUGGUCUGGCCAGACUCAAACCAUAGACUAUGUAUAUGGCACAUUCAGCAGAACAUUGUACACCAUUUGCAUGAUGAUGACGUAAAGGAGGAAUUCAGAUCUUUCAUUUAUGAUACUUCUUCCAUUGAAGAGCAUGAGAUAGAAUGGAUACAAUUCUUACAACGGAAUAAAGUAACCAGUGAGGAGUCUUGGCUGCAUCAGAUGUAUCAGAUGAGAAAGUUGUGGUGUGCUCCAUAUCUUGAGGGGCGUUGUUUCCUAGGAUUGAGCAGCAAUCAGAGGAGUGAGAGCUUGAACUCUGUGCUACAUACGCAUCUUGAGGGUAAGAUGUCGUUAUUUGAAAUGCUAGAGCACUAUGAGUGUUGCCUUGCGUCGCGACGGAUUAACGAAGCUCUCCAAGACGUCGAAGCCUUGCAGUCCGUUCCAUUUACAGAGGAAAAUGCUUCGCCGCUUGAGAAACACGCCGCAACAGUUUUC
RNAcentral lists this ribosomal RNA (564 nucleotides) under Triticum aestivum (bread wheat). RNAcentral describes it as "partial small subunit ribosomal RNA". The record is from RNAcentral. Lineage: Eukaryota; Viridiplantae; Streptophyta; Magnoliopsida; Poales; Poaceae.